RNAcentral lists this ribosomal RNA (468 nucleotides) under uncultured bacterium. RNAcentral describes it as "partial 16S ribosomal RNA". It matches the Rfam family "Bacterial small subunit ribosomal RNA", at positions 28 to 507 of the family's 1533-position model. The record is from RNAcentral.
GACGAACGCUGGCGGCGUGCUUAACACAUGCAAGUCGAACGGAAAUGCCCUGCUUUUGUGUUGUGCUCGAGUGGCGAACGGGUGAGUAACACGUGAGUAACCUGCCCUUUACUUUGGGAUAACUUCAGGAAACUGGGGCUAAUACCGGAUAGGAUCUCCUGCUGCAUGGUGGGGGUUGGAAAGUUUCGGCGGUUGGGGAUGGACUCGCGGCUUAUCAGCUUGUUGGUGGGGUAGUGGCUUACCAAGGCUUUGACGGGUAGCCGGCCUGAGAGGGUGACCGGCCACAUUGGGACUGAGAUACGGCCCAGACUCCUACGGGAGGCAGCAGUGGGGAAUAUUGCACAAUGGGCGGAAGCCUGAUGCAGCAACGCCGCGUGCGGGAUGACGGCCUUCGGGUUGUAAACCGCUUUCGCAUGUGACGAAGCGUGAGUGACGGUAAUGGGUAAAGAAGCACCGGCUAACUAUGUG